RNAcentral lists this transfer RNA (85 nucleotides) under Felis catus (domestic cat). It matches the Rfam family "tRNA". Rfam says of the family: Transfer RNA (tRNA) molecules are approximately 80 nucleotides in length. Their secondary structure includes four short double-helical elements and three loops (D, anti-codon, and T loops). Further hydrogen bonds mediate the characteristic L-shaped molecular structure. tRNAs have two regions of fundamental functional importance: the anti-codon, which is responsible for specific mRNA codon recognition, and the 3' end, to which the tRNAs corresponding amino acid is attached (by aminoacyl-tRNA synthetases). tRNAs cope with the degeneracy of the genetic code in two manners: having more than one tRNA (with a specific anti-codon) for a particular amino acid; and 'wobble' base-pairing, i.e. permitting non-standard base-pairing at the 3rd anti-codon position. RNAcentral also lists the same sequence under 2 other names. The record is from Rfam by way of RNAcentral. Lineage: Eukaryota; Metazoa; Chordata; Mammalia; Carnivora; Felidae.
GCAUGGGUGGCUCUGUCGGUUAAGCUUCUGACUUCAGCUCAGGACAUGAUCUCAUGGUUCGUGGGUUCAAGCCCCACAUCAGGCU